CGGCGUGCUUACACAUGCAGUCGAACGAUGAACCGCUUUCGGGCGGGGAUUAGUGGCGAACGGGUGAGUAACACGUGGGCAAUCUGCCCUGCACUCUGGGACAAGCCCUGGAAACGGGGUCUAAUACCGGAUAUGACUGUCCNUCGCAUGGUGGAUGGUGUAAAGCUCCGGCGGUGCAGGAUGAGCCCGCGGCCUAUCAGCUUGUUGGUGAGGUAGUGGCUCACCAAGGCGACGACGGGUAGCCGGCCUGAGAGGGCGACCGGCCACACUGGGACUGAGACACGGCCCAGACUCCUACGGGAGGCAGCAGUGGGGAAUAUUGCACAAUGGGCGAAAGCCUGAUGCAGCGACGCCGCGUGAGGGAUGACGGCCUUCGGGUUGUAAACCUCUUUCAGCAGGGAAGAAGCGAAAGUGACGGUACCUGCAGAAGAAGCGCCGGCUAACUACGUGCCAGCAGCCGCGGUAAUACGUAGGGCGCAAGCGUUGUCCGGAAUUAUUGGGCGUAAAGAGCUCGUAGGCGGCUUGUCACGUCGGUUGUGAAAGCCCGGGGCUUAACCCCGGGUCUGCAGUCGAUACGGGCAGGCUAGAGUUCGGUAGGGGAGAUCGGAAUUCCUGGUGUAGCGGUGAAAUGCGCAGAUAUCAGGAGGAACACCGGUGGCGAAGGCGGAUCUCUGGGCCGAUACUGACGCUGAGGAGCGAAAGCGUGGGGAGCGAACAGGAUUAGAUACCCUGGUAGUCCACGCCGUAAACGGUGGGCACUAGGUGUGGGCAACAUUCCACGUUGUCCGUGCCGCAGCUAA
Molecule: ribosomal RNA, 800 nt
Filed under: Streptomyces sp. D218
Lineage: Bacteria; Bacillati; Actinomycetota; Actinomycetes; Kitasatosporales; Streptomycetaceae
Description: bacterial SSU rRNA
Rfam family: Bacterial small subunit ribosomal RNA
Source: RNAcentral